RNAcentral lists this ribosomal RNA (914 nucleotides) under Haynesina sp. S16. Its description in RNAcentral is "SSU rRNA". It matches the Rfam family "Eukaryotic small subunit ribosomal RNA", at positions 1198 to 1816 of the family's 1831-position model. Lineage: Eukaryota; Foraminifera; Rotaliida; Nonionidae. The record is from RNAcentral.
ACUCACGCGGGAAUCUUACCGGGUCCGGACACACUGAGGAUUGACAGACAAAUACACACACUUUUACGGUGUGUGCAUGAAAUAUGCUAGUUCUUUCAUGAUUAUGUGAUAGGUGGUGCAUGGCCGUUCUUAGUUCGUGGAGUGAUCUGUCUGCUUAAUUGCGUUUCACUAAAGGCACAUACACAUAAUAUUGAUGUGUUGUGUAUAAUUUAUAUUAUACGCAUACUCAUAUUAUAUUGUGCUUUGAAAGCAACGAACGUGACCGCAACCUCUUGUUGCCUGUAUAUAUGUGUAUUUUAUACACACCACAGGCUAUUAUAAACUAGAGGGACCGCUGUUACUUUCUUUUAAACCAGAGGAAGGUUGCGGCAAUAACAGGUCUGUGAUGCCCUUAGAUGUUCCGGGCUGCACACGUGCUACAAUGAUCAUUGCAGUGCGCAUCUCAUUUUGUUAUACACUGCUUGUGCGUAUGUGCAUCACAUAUAUAUUUAUAUAUGUGUGUGUGUAUGUAUUGCACGCAGUAAAGCCUACUUCGAAAGUUGUGGGUAAUCAAUUUGAAGUAAUGAUUUCUCCAAAUAUAUACUGCACACUCAUAUACAGUGUCUUAUGUCCAUGAAAAUAUUUUAUAUUUUUGUGUGUGCAUUCGAUGCUCGUAUGUGCAAUUGUCAAUUCAUGGUGGGGACAGACCAUUGUUAAUUGUUGGUCUCGGUCUUAACUAGGAAUGCCUUGUACGGGUCUUUGGUUCAACAAACCACCCGGAAUACGUCCCUGCCCUUUGUACACACCGCCCGUCGCUCUUACCGAUGGACUUCUCUGUGAGUUUGAGGGACUGGAUUUUAUAUCUAUGGAAACUCAAACGAACAGUGUGGUCUAAAGGAAAGAGAAGUCGUAACAAGGCAUCCGUAGGUGAACCU